UGGGGAAUAUUGCACAAUGGGCGCAAGCCUGAUGCAGCCAUGCCGCGUGUGUGAAGAAGGCCUUCGGGUUGUAAAGCACUUUCAGCGAGGAGGAAGGUGGUGAGCUUAAUACGCUCAUCAAUUGACGUUACUCGCAGAAGAAGCACCGGCUAACUCCGUGCCAGCAGCCGCGGUAAUACGGAGGGUGCAAGCGUUAAUCGGAAUUACUGGGCGUAAAGCGCACGCAGGCGGUUUGUUAAGUCAGAUGUGAAAUCCCCGGGCUCAACCUGGGAACUGCAUUUGAAACUGGCAAGCUAGAGUCUCGUAGAGGGGGGUAGAAUUCCAGGUGUAGCGGUGAAAUGCGUAGAGAUCUGGAGGAAUACCGGUGGCGAAGGCGGCCCCCUGGACGAAGACUGACGCUCAGGUGCGAAAGCGUGGGGCAGCAAACAGGAUUAGAUACCCUGGUAGUCCAGCGCUGUAAAACGAUGUCGAUUUUGGAGGUUGUGCCCUUGAGGCGUGGCUUCCGGAGCUAACGCGUUAAAUCGACCGCCUGGGGAGU
This 538-nucleotide ribosomal RNA is filed under the name uncultured bacterium. RNAcentral's name for it is "partial 16S ribosomal RNA". It matches the Rfam family "Bacterial small subunit ribosomal RNA", at positions 355 to 881 of the family's 1533-position model. The record is from RNAcentral.